UCCCCCUAGUAACUGCGAGUGAAGCGGGAAAAGCUCAAAUUUAAAAUCUGGCGGUCUCUGGCCGUCCGAGUUGUAAUCUAGAGAAGUAAUGCCCGUGCUGGACCGUGUAUAAGUCUCCUGGGAUGGGGCGUCAUAGAGGGUGAGAAUCCCGUCUUUGACACGGACUACCAGUGCAUUGUGGUAUGCUCUCAAAGAGUCGAGUUGUUUGGGAAUGCAGCUCAAAAUGGGUGGUAAAUUCCAUCUAAAGCUAAAUAUUGGCGAGAGACCGAUAGCGAACAAGUACCGUGAGGGAAAGAUGAAAAGAACUUUGGAAAGAGAGUUAAACAGUACGUGAAAUUGCUGAAAGGGAAACGCUUGAAGUCAGUCGCGUUGACCGGGGAUCAGCCUUGCUUUUGCAUGGUGUACUUUCUGGUUGACGGGUCAGCAUCAAUUUUGACCGCUGGAAAAAGACCUGGGGAAUGUGGCAGCUUCGGCUGUGUUAUAGCCCCUAGUCGCAUACAGUGGUUGGGAUUGAGGAACUCAGCACGCCGCAAGGCCGGGUUUCGACCACGUUCGUGCUUAGGAUGCUGGCAUAAUGGCUUUAAGCGACCCGUCUUGAAACACGGACCAAGGAGUCUAACAUGCCUGCGAGUAUUUGGGUGGAAAACCCAAGUGCGUAAUGAAAGUGAAAGUUGAGAUCCCUGUCGUGGGGAGCAUCGACGCCCGGACCAGAACUUUUGGGACGGAUCCGCGGUGGAGCAUGUAUGUUGGGACCCGAAAGAUGGUGAACUAUGCCUGAAUAGGGUGAAGCCAGAGGAAACUCUGGUGGAGGCUCGUAGCGAUUCUGACGUGCAAAUCGAUCGUCAAAUUUGGGUAUAGGGGCGAAAGAC
Molecule: ribosomal RNA, 869 nt
Filed under: Agaricus alboumbonatus
Lineage: Eukaryota; Fungi; Basidiomycota; Agaricomycetes; Agaricales; Agaricaceae
Description: partial large subunit ribosomal RNA
Rfam family: Eukaryotic large subunit ribosomal RNA
Source: RNAcentral